This 1133-nucleotide ribosomal RNA is filed under the name Arthrobacter sp. RNAcentral's name for it is "bacterial SSU rRNA". It matches the Rfam family "Bacterial small subunit ribosomal RNA", at positions 55 to 1203 of the family's 1533-position model. Lineage: Bacteria; Bacillati; Actinomycetota; Actinomycetes; Micrococcales; Micrococcaceae. The record is from RNAcentral.
AUGCAAGUCGAACGAUGAUCCCAGCUUGCUGGGGGAUUAGUGGCGAACGGGUGAGUAACACGUGAGUAACCUGCCCUUAACUCUGGGAUAAGCCUGGGAAACUGGGUCUAAUACCGGAUAUGACUCCUCAUCGCAUGGUGGGGGGUGGAAAGCUUUAUUGUGGUUUUGGAUGGACUCGCGGCCUAUCAGCUUGUUGGUGAGGUAAUGGCUCACCAAGGCGACGACGGGUAGCCGGCCUGAGAGGGUGACCGGCCACACUGGGACUGAGACACGGCCCAGACUCCUACGGGAGGCAGCAGUGGGGAAUAUUGCACAAUGGGCGAAAGCCUGAUGCAGCGACGCCGCGUGAGGGAUGACGGCCUUCGGGUUGUAAACCUCUUUCAGUAGGGAAGAAGCGAAAGUGACGGUACCUGCAGAAGAAGCGCCGGCUAACUACGUGCCAGCAGCCGCGGUAAUACGUAGGGCGCAAGCGUUAUCCGGAAUUAUUGGGCGUAAAGAGCUCGUAGGCGGUUUGUCGCGUCUGCCGUGAAAGUCCGGGGCUCAACUCCGGAUCUGCGGUGGGUACGGGCAGACUAGAGUGAUGUAGGGGAGACUGGAAUUCCUGGUGUAGCGGUGAAAUGCGCAGAUAUCAGGAGGAACACCGAUGGCGAAGGCAGGUCUCUGGGCAUUAACUGACGCUGAGGAGCGAAAGCAUGGGGAGCGAACAGGAUUAGAUACCCUGGUAGUCCAUGCCGUAAACGUUGGGCACUAGGUGUGGGGGACAUUCCACGUUUUCCGCGCCGUAGCUAACGCAUUAAGUGCCCCGCCUGGGGAGUACGGCCGCAAGGCUAAAACUCAAAGGAAUUGACGGGGGCCCGCACAAGCGGCGGAGCAUGCGGAUUAAUUCGAUGCAACGCGAAGAACCUUACCAAGGCUUGACAUGAACCGGAAAGACCUGGAAACAGGUCCCCCGCUUGCGGUCGGUUUACAGGUGGUGCAUGGUUGUCGUCAGCUCGUGUCGUGAGAUGUUGGGUUAAGUCCCGCAACGAGCGCAACCCUCGUUCUAUGUUGCCAGCGCGUUAUGGCGGGGACUCAUAGGAGACUGCCGGGUCANUCGGAGGAAGGUGGGGACGACGUCAAUCAUCAUGCCCCUU